CUAAAAACUUACAAAAGUCACUGGCAAAUGCUAACAUCCCUGUUAGCGAAUCUACAAUACGUAAAACACUAAACAAGAAUGGAUUUCAUGGGAGGAUACCACAGAGGAAGCCACUGCUGUCCAAACAAAACAUUGCUGCACGUUUAUAGUUUAUAUGCACAAGACCACCUGGAUGUUCCACAGCAGUACUGGCAAAAUAUUCUGUGGACAGAUGAAACUAAAGUUGAGUUGUUGGAAGAAACACACAACACUAUGUGUGGCGAAAAAAAGGCACAGCACACCAACAUCAAAACCUCAUCCCAACUGUGAAGUAUGGUGGUGGGGGCAUCAUGGUUUGGGGCUGCUUUGCUGCGUCAGGGCCUGGACGGAUUGCUAUCAUCGAAGGAAAAAUGAAUUCCCAAGUUCAUCAAGACAUUUUGCAGGAGAACUUAAGGCCAUCUGUCUACCAGCUGAAGCUCAACAGAAGAUGGGUGUUGCAACAGGACAAUGACCCAAAGCAUAGAAGUAAAUCAACAACAGAAUGGCUUAAACAGAAGAAAAUACGCCUUCUGAAGUGGCCCAAUCAGAGUCCUGACCUCAACCCGAUUGAGAUGCUGUGGCAUGACCUCAAGAAAGCGAUUCACACCAGACAUCCCAAGAAUAUUGCUGAACUGAAACAGUUCUGUAAAGAGGAAUGGUCAAGAAUUACUCCUGACCGUUGUGCACGUCUGAUCUGCAACUACAGGAAACAUUUGGUUGAAGUUAUUGCUGCCAAAGGAGGUUCAACCAGUUAUUAAAUCCAAGGGUUCACAUACUUUUCCCACCUGCACUGAGAAUAUUUACAUGGUGUGUUCAAUAAAAAUAUCGCAACAUUUAAUUCUUUGUGUGU
Molecule: non-coding RNA, 868 nt
Organism: Pelobates cultripes (western spadefoot toad)
Lineage: Eukaryota; Metazoa; Chordata; Amphibia; Anura; Pelobatidae
Source: the annotation of a GenBank genome assembly